Molecule: long non-coding RNA, 214 nt
Filed under: Brassica napus (rape)
Lineage: Eukaryota; Viridiplantae; Streptophyta; Magnoliopsida; Brassicales; Brassicaceae
Description: long non-coding RNA (BNAP_LNC009794)
Source: RNAcentral
UAUGAGGAAAGCAAUAUGCAACUCAAUAUGAAAACUUUUUUCUUCUCAAACCAACGAGAUGUUGAAAAUUUUAGAGAACCGAUCCCUCAUCAUAACUUAUACUAGAAUAAGAAAGACUAAAGCAGACCAAACAUGUCUAAAAAAAGUGCAAGAUAAAAAGACACGGUUAAAGAUUCACCUUAAGAAAACCACAAAUUUUCGAUAUGUUGUCCCA